CCUACGGGAGGCAGCAGUGGGGAAUUUUGGACAAUGGGCGAAAGCCUGAUCCAGCAAUGCCGCGUGAGUGAAGAAGGCCUUCGGGUUGUAAAGCUCUUUUGUCAGGGAAGAAACGGUGAGAGCUAAUAUCUCUUGCUAAUGACGGUACCUGAAGAAUAAGCACCGGCUAACUACGUGCCAGCAGCCGCGGUAAUACGUAGGGUGCAAGCGUUAAUCGGAAUUACUGGGCGUAAAGCGUGCGCAGGCGGUUUUGAAGUCUGAUGUGAAAUCCCCGGGCUCAACCUGGGAAUUGCAUUGGAGACUGCAAGGCUAGAAUCUGGCAGAGGGGGGUAGAAUUCCACGUGUAGCAGUGAAAUGCGUAGAUAUGUGGAGGAACACCGAUGGCGAAGGCAGCCCCCUGGGUCAAGAUUGACGCUCAUGCACGAAAGCGUGGGGAGCAAACAGGAUUAGAUACCCUGGUAGUCCACGCCCUAAACGAUGUCUACUAGUUGUCGGGUCUUAAUUGACUUGGUAACGCAGCUAACGCGUGAAGUGACCGCCUGGGGAGUUACGGUUGCAAGNUUAAAACUUCAAAGNGUAGUUAGGCGNGAGAGAGCGACGACGACGACGACGGAGGAGGAGG
Molecule: ribosomal RNA, 622 nt
Filed under: uncultured bacterium
Lineage: Bacteria
Description: bacterial SSU rRNA
Rfam family: Bacterial small subunit ribosomal RNA
Source: RNAcentral